Molecule: ribosomal RNA, 464 nt
Filed under: uncultured bacterium
Lineage: Bacteria
Description: partial 16S ribosomal RNA
Rfam family: Bacterial small subunit ribosomal RNA
Source: RNAcentral
CCUACGGGUGGCAGCAGUGGGGAAUCUUCCGCAAUGGGCGAAAGCCUGACGGAGCAACGCCGCGUGAUCGAAUGAAGGCCUUCGGGUUGUAAAGUUCUGUUGACAGGGACGAAUAAGCAAUGCGAAUAGUUUUGUGUAUGACGGUACCUCUUGAAUAAGCCACGGCUAACUACGUGCCAGCAGCCGCGGUAAUACGUAGGUGGCAAGCGUUGUCCGGAUUUACUGGGUGUAAAGGGCGUGUAGCCGGGCUGACAAGUCAGAUGUGAAAUUCCGGGGCUCAACCCCGGACCUGCAUUUGAAACUGGUGGUCGUGAGUAUCGGAGAGGCAGGCGGAAUGCCUAGUGUAGCGGUGAAAUGCGUAGAUAUUAGGAGGAACACCAGUGGCGAAGGCGGCCUGCUGGACGACAACUGACGGUGAGGCGCGAAAGCGUGGGGAGCAAACAGGAUUAGAUACCCCAGUAGUC